CCGCUCCUACGGGGCGCAGCAGUAGGGAAUCUUCCACAAUGGACGAAAGUCUGAUGGAGCAACGCCGCGUGAGUGAAGAAGGGUUUCGGCUCGUAAAGCUCUGUUGGUAGUGAAGAAAGAUAGAGGUAGUAACUGGCCUUUAUUUUACGGUAAUUUCUUAGAAAGUCACGGCUAACUACGUGCCAGCAGCCGCGGUAAUAAGUAGGUGGCCAGCGUUGUCCGGAUUUAUUGGGCGUAAAACGAG
RNAcentral lists this ribosomal RNA (244 nucleotides) under uncultured bacterium. RNAcentral describes it as "partial 16S ribosomal RNA". It matches the Rfam family "Bacterial small subunit ribosomal RNA", at positions 333 to 569 of the family's 1533-position model. The record is from RNAcentral.